GAACGCAUACUUUAGAGUACGAGUGGCAGACGGGUGAGUAACGCGUGAGACAUCUACCUUACAGCCCGGUAUAAAUAUCUAUAUAGAGGCGAAAAUCUUUAUAUAUGAGUGAAUCCCGGAUAUUUUGAAUAAAAAAAAAGGCAAAGAACCGUUGUAAGAUAAGCUCGCGUAGGAUUAGGUAGUUGGUAAGGUAAAAGCUUAUCCAAGCCGAUGAUCCUUAGCUGUUUUGAGAGGAUGAUCAGCCACACUGGGACUGAGACACGGCCCAGACGCUUUCGAGCGGCAGCAGUGAGGAAUUUUGGACAAUGGGCGAAAGCCUGAUCCAGCUAUAUCGCAUGAAUGAAGAAGGCUCAAUUGGUUGUAAAAUUCAUAGUUUCAUUGUAGAUUAUGACAUUGAUGAAAUGAAUAGUCCCGGCCAACUCCGUGC
RNAcentral lists this ribosomal RNA (427 nucleotides) under uncultured Trebouxia photobiont. Its description in RNAcentral is "bacterial SSU rRNA". It matches the Rfam family "Bacterial small subunit ribosomal RNA", at positions 64 to 508 of the family's 1533-position model. Lineage: Eukaryota; Viridiplantae; Chlorophyta; Trebouxiophyceae; Trebouxiales; Trebouxiaceae. The record is from RNAcentral.